This 495-nucleotide ribosomal RNA is filed under the name uncultured bacterium. Its description in RNAcentral is "partial 16S ribosomal RNA". It matches the Rfam family "Bacterial small subunit ribosomal RNA", at positions 28 to 507 of the family's 1533-position model. The record is from RNAcentral.
GACGAACGCUGGCGGCGUGCCUAAUACAUGCAAGUCGAACGCUGAAGGAGGAGCUUGCUUCUCUGGAUGAGUUGCGAACGGGUGAGUAACGCGUAGGUAACCUGCCUGGUAGCGGGGGAUAACUAUUGGAAACGAUAGCUAAUACCGCAUAAGAGUAGAUGUUGCAUGACAUUUGCUUAAAAGGUGCAAUUGCAUCACUACCAGAUGGACCUGCGUUGUAUUAGCUAGUUGGUGAGGUAACGGCUCACCAAGGCGACGAUACAUAGCCGACCUGAGAGGGUGAUCGGCCACACUGGGACUGAGACACGGCCCAGACUCCUACGGGAGGCAGCAGUAGGGAAUCUUCGGCAAUGGACGGAAGUCUGACCGAGCAACGCCGCGGGAGUGAAGAAGGGUGUCGGAUCGUAAAGCUCGGUUGUAAGAGAAGAACGAGUGUGAGAGUGGAAAGUUCACACUGUGACGGUAGCUGACCAGAAAGGGACGGCUAACUACGUG